The sequence is a ribosomal RNA, 437 nucleotides long. It matches the Rfam family "Bacterial small subunit ribosomal RNA", at positions 341 to 792 of the family's 1533-position model.
ACGGAAGGCAGCAGUGGGGAAUAUUGGGCAAUGGGCGGAAGCCUGACCCAGCAACGCCGCGUGAAGGAAGAAGGUCUUCGGAUUGUAAACUUCUUUUAUGAGGGACGAAGGACGUGACGGUCCCUCAUGAAUACGCCACGGCUAACUACGUGCCAGCAGCCGCGGCAAUACGUAGGUGGCUAGCGUUAUCCGGAUUUACUGGGUGUAAAGGGCGCGUAGGCGGGGAUGCAAGUCAGAUGUGAAAUCUAUGGGCUUAACCCAUAAACUGCAUUUGAAACUGUAUCUCUUGAGUGCUGGAGAGGUAGAUGGAAUUCCUUGUGUAGCGGUGAAAUGCGUAGAUAUAAGGAAGGACAGCAGUGGCGAAGGCGAUCUACUGGACAGUAACUGACGCUGAGGCACGAAAGCGUGGGGAGCAAACAGGAUUAGAUACCCUGGUA